CGUGUAGGCGGUCCGCUAAGUCUGAUGUGAAAGCCCGGGGCUCACCCCCGGAAGGGCAUUGGAAACUGACGGACUCGAGUCCCGAAGAGGAGGGUGGAAUUCCUGGUGUAGCGGUGAAAUGCGUAGAUAUCAGGAGGAACACCGGUGGCGAAGGCGGCCCUCUGGACGGUGACUGACGCUGAGACGCGAAAGCGUGGGGAGCAAACA
RNAcentral lists this ribosomal RNA (207 nucleotides) under uncultured bacterium. Its description in RNAcentral is "partial 16S ribosomal RNA". It matches the Rfam family "Bacterial small subunit ribosomal RNA", at positions 568 to 774 of the family's 1533-position model. The record is from RNAcentral.